This 273-nucleotide ribosomal RNA is filed under the name uncultured bacterium. RNAcentral's name for it is "partial 16S ribosomal RNA". It matches the Rfam family "Bacterial small subunit ribosomal RNA", at positions 524 to 796 of the family's 1533-position model. The record is from RNAcentral.
UACGGAGGGUGCAAGCGUUAUCCGGAUUCACUGGGUUUAAAGGGUGUGUAGGCGGAUAUUUAAGUCAGUGGUGAAAUCUUCGGGCUCAACCCGAAAACUGCCAUUGAUACUAUUUAUCUUGAAUUCUGUUGAGGUGGGCGGAAUACAUCAUGUAGCGGUGAAAUGCUUAGAUAUGAUGUAGAACACCGAUUGCGAAGGCAGCUCACUAAACAGCGAUUGACGCUGAGGCACGAAAGCGUGGGGAUCAAACAGGAUUAGAAACCCCCGUAGUCC